UUUUUUUUUUUUUUUUUUUUUUUAACACUUGAAUAUAAAUUUAUUGCACUAAAGCUGUUAACAAUGACCUUACCGCUACAGCUUUAACUGUAAGGUACCCUGAAAUAGUUAGUAUCUAUAAGAACAGGGUUUCAUAUAGAUAAGUAUUUUUUCUUAAAUUUUAUAUUAGUAUAUUACAAUUAAAUACAAUGUUCAAUAAUAAUGUAAUACAAUUCAGUACCCUGAUCUGAAAUAAAUGAUAUAUUUUCCUUCUAUACAUGUAAUCAAAUUAAAUAACGCCCAUUUAAUACUCUUAUCCGAAAUUGAAUGUUUGGUGUCAAUUAUCUCGUUUAAAAAUUACAUGAUUUAAGAGUGUGUGACAUCGAUUUUCUUGAUCGGAAGGUUUACCUUGUUUAAAGGUGAGAGAGAGCAUGCUUUUUAAUGGAUGUAUGUUGAAUUAGGCUACUUUACUUCUUUUUUAUUUGGAUUUUAAACAUUUUAGGUGAGUCUUUUCUUUAUUUUUAUUUAUUUAGUUAAAGUGUUCUAGAAAUAUCUUCUUUAAGAGUGUUUUAUUUUGGAGAAAUUAAAGUUUGAAGCACUUGGACUGUAGUAUAUUCUUGUAGAUUGUAGGAUCUUAAGUAUUCGUCCAGUUCAACUUUAAACAGAUUGAAUACAUUAGUAGAUUUAUUUCUCUGAUCGGAUACAUAGUAUGAUUUGUAGAUAGCAAAUCCUAUAAGUGUCAGAAUUAUAUUGAAUCCGAUAUACUCAUUAUCUGUUAUUUUGUAGCCUAUUACAAUGUCUUUUAAGUUAAUGUUUUUGUUAAAAUUCAUUUGAGAUAAGAUUUUAUUAAUGAUUUCCCAAAAUUCUUUUAGAAAUUUACAUUCGAUAAAAAAGUGUUGAUACGUGUCUUUGAGUUGACAAAGUUGACAAAACGGACUAGUUACGAUUUUCCAUUUAUAGAGAUUAUCUCUAUUCGGUAAAAUGCAAGUUAUUAGUUUCCACCUAAACAUUUUAAGUUUAUUAAGUUUUAAAUGUUGGUGUAUAAACUUAAACAUAUAUUUGGUAAAGUCAUAAUUUAUUUCUAAUUCAUUUUUCC
This 1075-nucleotide long non-coding RNA is filed under the name Mytilus galloprovincialis (Mediterranean mussel). The record is from RNAcentral. Lineage: Eukaryota; Metazoa; Mollusca; Bivalvia; Mytilida; Mytilidae.